This 254-nucleotide ribosomal RNA is filed under the name uncultured bacterium. RNAcentral describes it as "partial 16S ribosomal RNA". It matches the Rfam family "Bacterial small subunit ribosomal RNA", at positions 524 to 776 of the family's 1533-position model. The record is from RNAcentral.
UACGUAGGGUGCGAGCGUUAAUCGGAAUUACUGGGCGUAAAGCGUGCGCAGGCGGUCUGUUAAGACCGAUGUGAAAUCCCCGGGCUUAACCUGGGAACUGCAUUGGUGACUGGCAGGCUUUGAGUGUGGCAGAGGGAGGUAGAAUUCCACGUGUAGCAGUGAAAUGCGUAGAGAUGUGGAGGAAUACCGAUGGCGAAGGCAGCCUCCUGGGCCAACACUGACGCUCAUGCACGAAAGCCAGGGGAGCAAACGGG